RNAcentral lists this unclassified non-coding RNA (343 nucleotides) under soil metagenome. Its description in RNAcentral is "partial contains 5.8S ribosomal RNA, internal transcribed spacer 2, and large subunit ribosomal RNA". The stretch from base 1 to 120 matches the Rfam family "5.8S ribosomal RNA", at positions 35 to 154 of the family's 154-position model. The record is from RNAcentral.
GAUGAAGAACGCAGCGAACUGCGAUAAGUAAUGUGAAUUGCAGAAUUCAGUGAAUCAUCGAAUCUUUGAACGCACAUUGCGCCCGCCAGCAUUCUGGCGGGCAUGCCUGUUCGAGCGUCAUUUCAACCCUCGAGCCCCCCCGGGGGCCUCGGUGUUGGGGGACGGCACACCAGCCGCCCCCGAAAUGCAGUGGCGACCCCGCCGCAGCCUCCCCUGCGUAGUAGCACACACCUCGCACCGGAGCGCGGAGGCGGUCACGCCGUAAAACGCCCAACUUUCUUAGAGUUGACCUCGGAUCAGGUAGGAAUACCCGCUGAACUUAAGCAUAUCAAUAAGCGGAGGA